This 617-nucleotide long non-coding RNA is filed under the name Lathyrus oleraceus (garden pea). RNAcentral describes it as "Pisum sativum (pea) long non-coding RNA (PSAT_LNC032820)". The record is from RNAcentral. Lineage: Eukaryota; Viridiplantae; Streptophyta; Magnoliopsida; Fabales; Fabaceae.
AAAAAUGGCACCCUAACGAAAAGUUUCUAAGUGUGCAGGGUUCUAAAGAAAGAAGUAAUAAAUCUGAUGAUGUCAUCAGAUGCACAACAAGAUCAGAUACAAAUUAUCAAGUAUCAGAAGCAUCUAAAGUAGAAUCUCGUUCAAGAAAGUCUAGAAGCUCUGACUCUGGACAAAACUGCAAGUAUCAGAAGCAUCUGAACAUGAAGUAAAGUCUAGAAGCUCUGACUCUGAACAACGCCCUCUGAAGAAUCUAUUUGGAUCAACAUCAGAAGCAAGAUUCCAAGUUUCUCCAGUUACACAAAUACUCUGAUUAUGGAUUUGCUAAUCAUGAAAGAGUAACGUUGAAGACAAGUAAAGAUUUUCAAUUGGAUUUCCUGAUUAAGAAAGAGACGUUAAUCUCCGCUUCCAAGAGAAAAGAUACUACUUGUGGUAAGUAGUCACUUCAAAGAUGAAAAGUUAAACUGCAGAAGCUAUUUAAGUGAUGGAGUAAACUCAGUUUAAUAUCCACCAGAUUCAACUCUACUCCAACUCAUAUAUAAAUAGAGAUGCAAUCAACAUUCAGUAACAAGAAAUCAACUAGCCAAAACUAUACUGAAUUAUUUCACGCUCAAGAAAAU